Molecule: ribosomal RNA, 627 nt
Filed under: uncultured bacterium
Lineage: Bacteria
Description: bacterial SSU rRNA
Rfam family: Bacterial small subunit ribosomal RNA
Source: RNAcentral
UUGGUGAGGUAAUGGCUCACCAAGGCGACGACGGGUAGCCGGCCUGAGAGGGCGACCGGCCACACUGGGACUGAGACACGGCCCAGACUCCUACGGGAGGCAGCAGUGGGGAAUAUUGCACAAUGGGCGAAAGCCUGAUGCAGCGACGCCGCGUGAGGGACGACGGCCUUCGGGUUGUAAACCUCUUUCAGCAGGGAAGAAGCGAAAGUGACGGUACCUGCAGAAGAAGCGCCGGCUAACUACGUGCCAGCAGCCGCGGUAAUACAUAGGGCGCAAGCGUUGUCCGGAAUUAUUGGGCGUAAAGAGCUCGUAGGCGGUCUGUCGCGUCGGAUGUGAAAGCCCGGGGCUUAACCCCGGGUCUGCAUUCGAUACGGGCAGACUAGAGUGUGGUAGGGGAGAUCGGAAUUCCUGGUGUAGCGGUGAAAUGCGCAGAUAUCAGGAGGAACACCGGUGGCGAAGGCGGAUCUCUGGGCCAUUACUGACGCUGAGGAGCGAAAGCGUGGGGAGCGAACAGGAUUAGAUACCCUGGUAGUCCACGCCGUAAACGGUGGGAACUAGGUGUUGGCGACAUUCCACGUCGUCGGUGCCGCAGCUAACGCAUUAAGUUCCCCGCCUGGGGAGUACGGC